This 463-nucleotide ribosomal RNA is filed under the name uncultured bacterium. RNAcentral describes it as "partial 16S ribosomal RNA". It matches the Rfam family "Bacterial small subunit ribosomal RNA", at positions 28 to 507 of the family's 1533-position model. The record is from RNAcentral.
GAUGAACGCUGACAGAAUGCUUAACACAUGCAAGUCUUUGGCGAAGCUGUGCUUGCGCAGCCUAGCCAAGGCGGACGGGUGAGUAACGCGUAAGGAACUUGCCCUGCAGUCAGGGAUAACAGACGGAAACGACUGAUAAGACCUGGUAAAGUCAGGCGGACUCAUGUCCAGCCUGAUGAAAAGAGAUGCUGCAGGAGAGCCUUGCGUCCUAUUAGCUUGUUGGUGGGGUAACGGCCCACCAAGGCGAUGAUAGGUAGCCGGCCUGAGAGGGUGGACGGCCACAAGGGGACUGAGAUACGGCCCUUACUCCUACGGGAGGCAGCAGUGGGGAAUAUUGGACAAUGGGGGCAACCCUGAUCCAGCAAUUCUGUGUGCACGAUGAAGGUUUUCGGAUUGUAAAGUGCUUUCAGCAGGGAAGAAAAAAAUGACGGUACCUGCAGAAGAAGCGACGGCUAAAUACGUG